RNAcentral lists this ribosomal RNA (253 nucleotides) under uncultured bacterium. RNAcentral's name for it is "partial 16S ribosomal RNA". It matches the Rfam family "Bacterial small subunit ribosomal RNA", at positions 524 to 776 of the family's 1533-position model. The record is from RNAcentral.
UACGUAGGGGGCAAGCGUUGUCCGGAAUCAUUGGGCGUAAAGCGCGUGUAGGCGGUCCGGUAAGUCCGCUGUGAAAGUCGGGGGCUCAACCCUCGGAUGCCGGUGGAUACUGUCGGGCUUGAGUACGGAAGAGGCGAGUGGAAUUCCAGGUGUAGCGGUGAAAUGCGUAGAUAUCUGGAGGAACACCGGUGGCGAAGGCGGCAUCCUGGACCAACACUGACACUGAUGAGCGAAAGCCAGGGGAGCAAACGGG